CCCUGCCUUUUGUACACACCGCCCGUCGCUACUACCGAUUGAAUGGCUUAGUGAGACCUCCGGAUUAGCGACCUAUUGGUGGCAACACCAUCUGGCUGCCGAGAAGCUGGUCAAACUUGGUCAUUUAGAGGAAGUAAAAGUCGUAACAAG
RNAcentral lists this ribosomal RNA (150 nucleotides) under uncultured eukaryote. Its description in RNAcentral is "partial small subunit ribosomal RNA". It matches the Rfam family "Eukaryotic small subunit ribosomal RNA", at positions 1651 to 1798 of the family's 1831-position model. The record is from RNAcentral.